This 30-nucleotide non-coding RNA is filed under the name Homo sapiens (human). The record is from RNAcentral. Lineage: Eukaryota; Metazoa; Chordata; Mammalia; Primates; Hominidae.
UGCAAGCUGAGGAGCAAGGAGAGCCAGUGC